This 1560-nucleotide long non-coding RNA is filed under the name Numida meleagris (helmeted guineafowl). RNAcentral's name for it is "lncRNA (ENSNMEG00000018684.1)". Lineage: Eukaryota; Metazoa; Chordata; Aves; Galliformes; Numididae. The record is from RNAcentral.
CUGUGGCCCUCUUUUCAGGCUGGUGAAUUGGAUUUUUCUCCUCAACCAUUGGUGCAGGGUUUGGUUUGCUUAAGGAGCCGUGAAGUGUGUGCCUGGAAAGCAUGCAGGGCUGCCGCGCUGAGGACAGAGGCAGGCACCCAGGUUAGCAGGCAUUUUGCUUUGCUCUGCUUUGACCCCAGGUCUGGAGGAGGGCAGUCAGCGUUUAUGCAGCAGAGCCCAAGAAGAGGUGUUGGUGUCCAUGGGCACAGGGGAGAUUCCAGCCCCAGUCUGGGAGCCAAGGGGGUCCCAGGUGGGCUUUGCUUUUACCAGAGCUGCCGUAGGGGUAACAGUAAACCUAAACCUGUUGCUUUUUGUAUUGCUGUCAUGUUUUCUUCAGCCUGGAAUCCAUCUUCCACAUUGGUUUUCCUGUGGUGAGAAAACUGGGCUCCUACCCCACCACAGUCCUUCUGAUUUCAAGUUGCCAACACCUGUGUUACCUACCAGGUGUAGGACUGUGUCCUUCCCCAAGGCCUAACUCAUUUCACCUGUGGCCAUCUGUAAAUGAAGGCACUUGGCAGUGCCCCCUGCUGUGCUGUUGGUCCCCUGGGCCCUCUCUGUGCAGGCCCCAGCUCAGGCCUUGCCUCCUCAGCACGUCUGAGGGCAGUAUAGCUGCAGCCAUCAAAAUGGGUAUUGCUCUUCUGACUUCAGCUUUGCUCAUAGAAGUGGUGUAGAACAUGCCUAAAGGUGUGGAAACUUGUAAACAGAAGUCUCACUGUCAGCACUAAGUGCGAUCCUCGUUAAUUUAGAUAAGUGGCAGAGGUAGAUGCAUGAGAAGAAAAUCUGGACAUGUGGAGCAGGCUGGGAUCUCUCUCAGGACAGGAGGACAGACCCUGUCACACUGCUGCCACUCGUGCUGCUUUCACUGUGCUCACCCCUUCUGUCUUCGUGUCACCAUGUGGAGCAAGAGGGAAGUCUUCAUCAGUAUUCACUCUCUGGGCACACUGCAGAAUGUUUGAAGACUGCAAUUUAUCCCGUGAAACUGCACCUGAUGCUGUAUUUCUGUCUUCUCCUGAGUUAGCAGCGUAUUGUUACACAAAGACUUGUAAGAACUGUAAUCACUCACAAGAAUGAACAGUGAUGGCAAGGUUCCGUCUGGGUGAGAGAUGCUCUGGGCACAGGGUGGUGGAAACACGCUACUCUCUCACCAUGUCCCUAAGAGCCAGUUCACCUCAAAUAUUUCUCUCUCCCUGACCCCCAUGUCUCACUUGGAGAGAUUUCCCAAGGAACACUCUUCUGUUGAGCUACUGAAGGCGAUUAGGUGAGAGAUGAGUGCUGUGAGUGAGAGAGCUGACCUGGGGCAGAGGUCAUGACUGAGAUGUUGGAAGGCACGAUGGCAUGAGGGAUGGAGGAGAAAGGCCUUCCCUUCUGGUGGCCAGGGACUGUCAGAGCAGACUGGCUGCAUCAUUGGUCUAUGUCCUUAUCAGCAGUCUAUUACUUCUGCAGUUAGCUGAAAUGUUGGAGAAGUCUGUGGCCCAAUUACUUAGCAACAGCAAAUGUCAUUUACGAGGUAUUUGUAAAUAA